RNAcentral lists this ribosomal RNA (441 nucleotides) under uncultured bacterium. Its description in RNAcentral is "partial 16S ribosomal RNA". It matches the Rfam family "Bacterial small subunit ribosomal RNA", at positions 338 to 795 of the family's 1533-position model. The record is from RNAcentral.
CCUACGGGAGGCUGCAGUGAGGAAUAUUGGUCAAUGGACGCAAGUCUGAACCAGCCAUGCCGCGUGCAGGAAGACGGUUUUCGGAUUGUACACUUCUGUUCUUAGUGAAGAAUAAUGACGGUAGCUAAGGAGCAAGCCACGGCUAACUACGUGCCAGCAGCCGCGGUAAUACGUAGGUGGCAAGCGUUGUCCGGAAUUACUGGGUGAAAAGGGCGCGCAGGCGGGAAGCCAAGUCAGCUGUGAAAACUACGGGCUUAACUUGUAGACUGCAUGUGCAACUGGGUUUCUUGAGUGAAGUAGAGGUUGGCGGAAUUCCGAGGGUAGCGGUGAAAUGCGUAGAGAUUCGGAGGAACACCGGUGGCGAAGGCGGCCAACUGGGCUUUAACUGACGCUGAGGCUCGAAAGUGUGGGGAGCAAACAGGAUUAGAUACCCGUGUAGUC